AUGGCUGAGAAUAAAAACCCAUUUCUAACAGGGUCCUUGCAGGUCCGGUGGCAUCCCUUCUCUAGCGGCUGCAUGCUGACACUUCGCUUCCUGCAUGGACCACUGGGCUCCUGGGUGUCUGGAAGGAGUCCACUGAAUUUCCAUGCAAACCUGGUGUCUGCUGAUGGGCCUGGUCUGAGAAGGGUUCCUGGGAUGGAGGACAAGGCUUUGGCACCCAGGAGCUCUGAACCCGAUGUUAGUAGUUUGGCCAGCUCAUCCUGGACAUUGGCUAAUGUCUCAUGCAUGGAGUGUGCUGGCCUGAAGGCCAAAGCUGGCCAGGGCAGGAAGUCGGCCCGAAAGGUCGGUGCCAGUUAACGAUACAACACAUAGCAGAGGCCUGAGGAUUCAGCGGGCUUGGCUAAAACCCUCGUUUGGCCUGCUUGCUAUUUCUCUUUUAUCCUGCUGACCAAGAGCUGUGUGACACCCUUGGACAGCAGUCACAUAUUUUCUUUUCAUGUAAAAAUAGUAAGCUGAAAUUUCAUACAGAAAAUGAGAAUUAUAUGUACAUUAAUCUUUAUGCCUACAAGAUACUGUGACAAACGAAAAGAGAAACCAAAAUAAAAUAUACAUUUUCUGGGAAGGAAAAUUUUAUGUUUAGUGGGCAUGCUGUUAAAAUAUUUAUCAUUUACAAUCAGUUUUAAGGGAGAUAGAAUCUGCAAUAACGUUUUUGAGGACAACAGUGGAGGCUACUUCUGUAUCUGAUUUAGAAAUAGACACCAGAGUUCAUCCCUCCUGAGUCAAUGGGUGUUUUGAAUGCCUUUUUAGAGCACUCUAAGAUAUAUAAAUGACACAGUCUCAACCAUUUGGUAGAUUCAGCAUCUCUCCUGAACUAAUCCGUGAUACUAGACAGAAAGCAUGUUGGUAAGCUUCACGAGAUGGACGGCCUCCUUCUUGGGGAUCAUGCAUUCCCACCAGGAAACAUGAGACUUCCAAUGACUUCUCACAAGGGAGUCCCUGGUCCCCACUCCACUGAUGAGUAUCUACUUCCCACCCAUUCAUUCCCAUCACAGCAUUCUCAAGAAAGGAGUCCCUAGUCCCCACUCUGUUGAUGAGCAUCUACUUCCCACCCAUUGAUUCCCAUCACAGCAGCCAUGUGACAUCUUUGCCUAGUGAGACCUAAUGGAUGUGCCCUGUGCCACCUGCCAGCAGAAGACUUGAAGCCCUUGCCUUCUAUCACCAUGUAAGUGGUCCUUCUGACCUGGGGGCUGGUCCUUCAUGAGAGUGGUCCUGAUGACAUGGGGGCUGCUCCUUCAUGAGACUGGUCCUGCUGACCUGGGGGAUGGUCCUUCAUGAGAUUGGUCCUGCUGACCUGGGGGCUGGUCCUUCACGACGGUGGUCCUGCUGACCUGAGGGCUGGUCCUUCAUGAGAGUGGUCCUGCCGACCUGGGGGCUGGUCCUUCAGCCAGGCCCUGAUCAGAGAAUUCAAGGCAUAGAGCUGAAGCCAGUCCUUAGCAUCAAGGACCAAGAGUGACAAAUUAACACUCCUUAUGAGCUACUGAGAUUGUGAGCCUGAUUGCUUGAACUAGCUGAUGUAUCUAUGUAUCAUGGUCACUGAAGGAGGACUCCUCUUACCAGUCACAGAUUUAGGGAAUAAUCAUUACUGAAAUGUCAUCUCCCAAACUCAUUCCCUGGCAUCUCAAUUUACUACACCCCCAUGAGAGACUGUGCUUUUUGGGGUCCCAUAGGCCCCAUGGAACCAGCCACUGAGGAUCAAGGAGGGCCAUCAUGAUCUGUCCCAGUGACAUAACAGCAACUGAUUCCACAAGCAGCAUAAUUAAAUAGUAAAAAUGUUCGGUAAAGAAUGUAAGUGCUCACUCUUGAGUUUUACUCCUUUCAGCACCUGCAAUCCUCUUCAUUAUUGAUAUAGGUGUGUAUUAGUCCAUUUUCAUAUUGCUAUGAAGAGAUGCCAAGACUGCGUUAUUUAUCAAGAAAAAGUGGUUUAAUGGACUCACAUUCCACAAGGCUGGGAGGCCUCAGAGUCAU
Molecule: long non-coding RNA, 2022 nt
Filed under: Callithrix jacchus (white-tufted-ear marmoset)
Lineage: Eukaryota; Metazoa; Chordata; Mammalia; Primates; Cebidae
Description: lncRNA (ENSCJAG00000079191.1)
Source: RNAcentral